RNAcentral lists this ribosomal RNA (384 nucleotides) under uncultured bacterium. RNAcentral's name for it is "bacterial SSU rRNA". It matches the Rfam family "Bacterial small subunit ribosomal RNA", at positions 30 to 416 of the family's 1533-position model. The record is from RNAcentral.
AUUGAACGCUGGCGGCAUGCCUUACACAUGCAAGUCGAACGGCAGCGGGCCUUCGGGUGCCGGCGAGUGGCGAACGGGUGAGUAAUGCAUCGGAACGUGCUAUUGAGUGGGGGAUAACGUAGCGAAAGUUGCGCUAAUACCGCAUAUUCUGUGAGCAGGAAAGCAGGGGACCGCAAGGCCUUGCGCUCUUUGAGCGGCCGAUGUCAGAUUAGCUAGUUGGUGAGGUAAAGGCUUACCAAGGCGACGAUCUGUAGCGGGUCUGAGAGGAUGAUCCGCCACACUGGAACUGAGACACGGUCCAGACUCCUACGGGAGGCAGCAGUGGGGAAUUUUGGACAAUGGGGGCAACCCUGAUCCAGCCAUGCCGCGUGAGUGAAGAAGGCC